AAAUAUCUAACAUCAAACAUAGUCAUGCAUAAAUAUUAAGUUUCGAUGUCAUAUACAUACAUAUUAGUUCAAAUUACAAACAUAAACAUGCUAGACCGAAUUAAACAAGUAAACAUACUCGUCAAAUAACAAACAUAGUCUGAACUCAAAUUUUGAAUAUAGUCAAACCAUCUUAGCAAGUAGGCCUGUAGUAGUGUUGGUUCACAA
RNAcentral lists this long non-coding RNA (207 nucleotides) under Populus tremula. Its description in RNAcentral is "long non-coding RNA (PTRE_LNC001000)". The record is from RNAcentral. Lineage: Eukaryota; Viridiplantae; Streptophyta; Magnoliopsida; Malpighiales; Salicaceae.